AGAUCACUUGAACCCAGGAGUUGGAGGUUGCAGUGAGCUGAGAUCACACCACUGCACUCCAGCCUGGGUGACAGAG
This 76-nucleotide small nuclear RNA is filed under the name Homo sapiens (human). RNAcentral's name for it is "partial ncRNA". Lineage: Eukaryota; Metazoa; Chordata; Mammalia; Primates; Hominidae. The record is from RNAcentral.